This 251-nucleotide long non-coding RNA is filed under the name Gossypium barbadense (sea-island cotton). RNAcentral's name for it is "long non-coding RNA (GBAR_LNC004368)". The record is from RNAcentral. Lineage: Eukaryota; Viridiplantae; Streptophyta; Magnoliopsida; Malvales; Malvaceae.
AAAUUGUUUCUAUUGUAUUUAGGUUGUCAAUAUAGUACAAAAAAAUUUAUUAUACAAGUAUAAAAAAAUUCAAAAAAAAUUCGGAAAAAAAAAUUCGAAAAAAAAAUUCAAAAAAAAAGUUUCAAAAAAAAAAGAUUUGUGCAAUUCGAUGGUUGCUCGAAUGUCAAAGCCCUUGAUUUGAAAUCAUUCCUGGUCCACCUUCUGUUCUAAUCUCAUAUAAUCUCAUACACACCACACUUUUUACCCAAUUC